Long non-coding RNA from Mya arenaria, 568 nucleotides. RefSeq lists it as uncharacterized. The record is from RefSeq and is a predicted model, not a curated record. NCBI's taxonomy places the organism in Eukaryota, Metazoa, Mollusca, Bivalvia, Myida, Myidae. The transcript is spliced from 3 exons.
GCUAUCAUGAUAACUGGGUUAACAUAAGAGGCAUGUCAGAAAGGAUAAAACAUGAUAUGCAAACAUAUGCAUUCACAUUUAUAGGACUUUUUACUUUGUAUACCUACAAGUGCUAGACACCAGAUGGGUCCAGAAUCAGCGAGUACAUUAUUUCCACAAAACAAGCAUAGAAUUGUCAACACGAGCUAGAAUGAGACCGGGGAUUGGCUUAUACUUUCCUGGUGACAAUCAGACAAUGAAGCAGGGGAUUGGCUUAUACUUUCGUGGUGACAAUCAGACAAUGAAGAUGGGUAUGGUUGCCGUUCGAUCCUCCACAGAUCAAAGUGCAAAACACUAGUUAAAAAUAAUGCUGCACGUUAAACACGAAAGAGAGGUGAUAAUUAAGAUUGGUUUAAAAAAUGAAAUGCAAUUUUAACAGCUGAUAGCGUUUAUCAUAAAAACUGUUGACAACUUAGCACUGUUUAUUUACUAGACUUUAAAAUAAAGGAAAUAAUUCUAAAAUAACAAAAAUUGUGUAAAGAACAUCAUUCUUUAAAGUUAUUUUUCAUAAAUGUAUAUAUUGUUUUAC